AUUGAACGCUGGCGGCAUGCCUUACACAUGCAAGUCGAACGGCAGCGCGGGGCAACCUGGCGGCGAGUGGCGAACGGGUGAGUAAUAUAUCGGAACAUACCCUAGAGUGGGGGAUAACGUAGCGAAAGUUACGCUAAUACCGCAUACGCACUAAGGUGGAAAGUGGGGGAUUCGCAAGAACCUCAUGCUCAUGGAGUGGCCGAUAUCUGAUUAGCUAGUUGGUGAGGUAAAGGCUCACCAAGGCAACGAUCAGUAGCUGGUUUGAGAGAACGACCAGCCACACUGGAACUGAGACACGGUCCAGACUCCUACGGGAGGCAGCAGUGGGAAUUUUGGACAAUGGGGGCAACCCUGAUCCAGCAAUGCCGCGUGAGUGAAGAAGGCCUGG
RNAcentral lists this ribosomal RNA (388 nucleotides) under uncultured bacterium. RNAcentral's name for it is "bacterial SSU rRNA". It matches the Rfam family "Bacterial small subunit ribosomal RNA", at positions 30 to 419 of the family's 1533-position model. The record is from RNAcentral.